Molecule: long non-coding RNA, 1394 nt
Organism: Gallus gallus (chicken)
Lineage: Eukaryota; Metazoa; Chordata; Aves; Galliformes; Phasianidae
Source: Ensembl
UGAUUUAGUUUCCAUCACUGAAGUACUGCCAGGAGAGGAAAAAUAAAACUACCAUACUGUGGAUGAGCUGCAAUCAAUAGUGGUCGCACAAAAGAGGGAAUGGAAUAUUCAGCCUUUCAGAGCAUCUCAGUAGAAUACCAUCUUUGAGCUGCAGUGAGUCAAUGAGGAUCUGCUUCUCCACUGGACAACAAAAUGUUUUGCAGGCCAUUCUGAGCACUACGCUUAUGGACGUGGUUAUGCUGUUCCCAGACACUGACCUGACUGGAGCAGCGGGAGCUGAACACGCCUGCAAGUCUCUAGCUGCCUUCUGGCCACAGUGUGGGUGUCUGGGAAGGCUGCAGCUGCAGCAGAAGUGGAAGCACAUGGGAAAAUGACUCACCUCCCAGGGGCUAGACAUGGAUUUUCAACCCAGCAGAGCACAGGAAAUAUGACAUGAAGGUGGAGCGUUGUGCUACUCGAGGAACAAAAUGUCAUGGCAAAUAACUGCUUCGAGUCUGGCCUAUUCUUUAACAGACUUGUAGGCUGUGAAGAUCCAGAGUACAAGCCUUUACUCUGGGAACCAUUGCCAAGGAGAUGAUUAUUCAUUAAUGAUAUAAUCUUUGACCUGGAAGCCCUGUGCUCUGAGCACAGCCUGUGAAGCAACAGGGCCCUGGGGACAACCACACGUGUGUUCGAAGUCCAGCGCUGCAGGGAGGUGAGGGGUGCUGACACCAGGUUUUGAAUGGGCUGAGUGGUUUAAUUGAAAAGAGCAGCCAGUCACUGAAGAAAGAGUGAAUAACUCUCUCUGCCCGCCUGCUUUAGUGAGGACACGUUUACCAGGUGCCUCAUGAGGGACUCGAGGAAAAUACCAGAGACACCCAACUCAUUUCAUUUUGAAAACUGUGAAGGAAGAUGGUAGCUGUAGGUACCAGGAAUGUGCUGUCAUUGAAAUACAGUCCCAGUGUUUCUCAGCCUGCUCAUCCUGUGCAGUCUGUGAGAACCAGGGCACAGGGGCAAUGUAAAGUUGGAGCUGGAGAUGCCAGGGCCUGCAGCUGCCUUAGCUCAGGGUCAGCCCACAGCACACGGCUGCCUCAGGGCCCCUGGGGGCCCAGGAAGCCCCAGGUGCAAAUGUGUCUGCGUUGCACAGCUCGGACUCUGGACACACAGAGAAGCCUGUGGUCCCACAGCUUUGCAGGUGAACUAUUGGAAAUACUGAGUUUGGACUGCGGUUUAUCCAAGGUUCAUCAAGCCAGGUACGUUUUUACAAAGCAGAUUGAUUUUUACAGAUAAACCACUUCUGGACUAAAAAAGAAAAACAAGAUAAACUGUUGGAGAGCUCUCAGCUGGGUCCUUGCAUGUGGUCUUAUGUGCUGAAAAGAGAGGAUGCCAAAAGAGUUCAGAUCAACAACACAGGG